CGGGGCGCAGCAGGCGCGAAAACUUUACAAUGCGGGAAACCGUGAUAAGGGGACACCGAGUGCCAGCAUCAUAUGCUGGCUGUCCAGGUGUGUAAAAUACACCUGUUAGCAAGGGCCGGGCAAGACCGGUGCCAGCCGCCGCGGUAACACCGGCGGCCCGAGUGGUGAUCGUGAUUAUUGGGUCUAAAGGGUCCGUAGCCGGUUUGGUCAGUCCUCCGGGAAAUCUGAUAGCUCAACUAUUAGGCUUUCGGGGGAUACUGCCAGACUUGGAACCGGGAGAGGUAAGAGGUACUACAGGGGUAGGAGUGAAAUCUUGUAAUCCCUGUGGGACCACCUGUGGCGAAGGCGUCUUACCAGAACGGGUUCGACGGUGAGGGACGAAAGCUGGGGGCACGAACCGGAUUAGAUACCCGGGUAGUCCCAGCCGUAAACAAUGCUCGCUAGGUGUCAGACAUGGCGCGACCGUGUCUGGUGCCGCAGGGAAGCCGUGAAGCGAGCCACCUGGGAAGUACGGCCGCAAGGCUGAAACUUAAAGGAAUUGGCGGGGGAGCAC
Molecule: ribosomal RNA, 553 nt
Filed under: uncultured archaeon
Lineage: Archaea
Description: bacterial SSU rRNA
Rfam family: Archaeal small subunit ribosomal RNA
Source: RNAcentral